This 269-nucleotide ribosomal RNA is filed under the name uncultured Streptococcus sp. RNAcentral's name for it is "partial 16S ribosomal RNA". It matches the Rfam family "Bacterial small subunit ribosomal RNA", at positions 1112 to 1382 of the family's 1533-position model. Lineage: Bacteria; Bacillati; Bacillota; Bacilli; Lactobacillales; Streptococcaceae. The record is from RNAcentral.
UAGUUGCCAUCAUUCAGUUGGGCACUCUAGCGAGACUGCCCGGUAAUAAACCGGAGGAAGUGGGGAUGACGUCAAAUCAUCAUGCCCCUUAUGACCUGGGCUACACACGUGCUACAAUGGUUGGUACAACGAGUUGCGAGUCGGUGACGGCGAGCUAAUCUCUUAAAGCCAAUCUCAGUUCGGAUUGUAGGCUGCAACUCGCCUACAUGAAGUCGGAAUCGCUAGUAAUCGCGGAUCAGCACGCCGCGGUGAAUACGUUCCCGGGCCUU